GCGUCGCUAGUGUAAGGAUGAGCACGGUGCCCGGAAAGCACAAAUGCGGGUUCGAGUCCCAUCCGACGCU
This 70-nucleotide transfer RNA is filed under the name Haemonchus placei. It matches the Rfam family "tRNA". Rfam says of the family: Transfer RNA (tRNA) molecules are approximately 80 nucleotides in length. The record is from Rfam by way of RNAcentral. Lineage: Eukaryota; Metazoa; Nematoda; Chromadorea; Rhabditida; Trichostrongylidae.